CGGGUGAGUAAUGUCUGGGAAACUGCCUGAUGGAGGGGGAUAACUACUGGAAACGGUAGCUGAUACCGCAUAACGUCGCAAGACCAAAGAGGGGGACCUUAGGGCCUCUUGCCAUCGGAUGUGCCCAGAUGGGAUUAGCUAGUAGGUGGGGUAACGGCUCACCUAGGCGACGAUCCCUAGCUGGUCUGAGAGGAUGACCAGCCACACUGGAACUGAGACACGGUCCAG
RNAcentral lists this ribosomal RNA (228 nucleotides) under uncultured bacterium. RNAcentral describes it as "partial 16S ribosomal RNA". It matches the Rfam family "Bacterial small subunit ribosomal RNA", at positions 103 to 334 of the family's 1533-position model. The record is from RNAcentral.